Molecule: long non-coding RNA, 1180 nt
Filed under: Piliocolobus tephrosceles (Ugandan red Colobus)
Lineage: Eukaryota; Metazoa; Chordata; Mammalia; Primates; Cercopithecidae
Description: lncRNA (ENSPTEG00000000134.1)
Source: RNAcentral
UGAUUAUUCUUUUCGUGGCAUUGACUGUUCAAACUAUCUCAUGAGAAAAUCUUCUGUGAAAUUUAAUGAUGAUAUUACUCAUAGAUUUAUAAACGAACACUUUUUAUUAACAUAUAGGUAUUAUAUAAUUUGUAAUAGUAGCAGUAGUAGUGCGAAAGGUAAAGAAAGUGGUAUUGCAUCACAAAACAUUUGUAUAUCUGAGGACUUAAGAAAAGGUUAUAAAAUAAAAAACAGCUUCAACGACAAUUUAUUAUUAUUACAGACGAACAUGAGAAAUAAAAAAGAACAGCACCAGUACCAGCAACAGCAACAACAGCAGAUAGAAUAUAUAAAACAAAAAACCAAUACCAUGAACAACUUUUAUACUUUUAGAACAGACCCUAUGUAUAAAUACUAUCACCAUUUUGGCAUUAUACGAAAAAAAUUAUAUUAUAGAUACAUAAUGAUUGUAAUUAAAAAAGCUGAUAAUCGUUUAGGUAACGGGUCUAGUUGUAUGGAUGCCAAUGGAAAUAAUGAUAUUAUGAUUAGUGGACACGAAAACAGCUACAAUAAUAGUGACUAUGAUAGUUUUUGGAAUCACAUCGAUGGUAAAAGUGAUGAUAAAAGUGAUGGUAAAAGUGAUGGUAAUAGCGAUGGUAAAGGUGAUGGCAAUAGCGAUGACAACAGUGACAGACGAUGCGACAAUAAAAGUGACAGGACAUGUUACGAAAAUAGCUACGGUAGUAUAAACCUUAGUGACAAAUGUAGUAGUAGUGAUAACAAUAGUAACGAAAACAGCGCUAUCAUGAAAUAUACAUUUUUUCUAAGUGGUAAUUAUGAACUGUUUUUUAGUUUGUUUCCAUGUUAUAUAUUAUUUAUGAUAGAGUAUUGGAAUAUUAUUUAUGAGAAACAAAAUAAUAACAUAAAUAGCGAUAUAAAUAGUGGUAUAAGUCGAAAUGAUUACACACAUGAAGUAUAUGAUGAACUGUAUUUAAAUAAGUUUUGUGAAUCACUUGAUCACUUUAAACCUAAUGUUAUAAAUAGUAAUAAAAGACAGGAACAUGUAAAAGAAGUUAUUGCAUUUAUUGAAACAUUUAUUACUCCUAAAUUUAUUGCUCUUUUUUUUCCUUCUUAUUUACAAUAUUUAAAGAAUGGUACUAAACAAAAACUAAAUGUUAAAAAUUUAAUAGGUAACGAAGCA